This 253-nucleotide ribosomal RNA is filed under the name uncultured bacterium. RNAcentral describes it as "partial 16S ribosomal RNA". It matches the Rfam family "Bacterial small subunit ribosomal RNA", at positions 524 to 776 of the family's 1533-position model. The record is from RNAcentral.
UACGUAGGGUGCAAGCGUUGUUCGGAAUCAUUGGGCGUAAAGCGCGUGUAGGGGGCUAGUUAAGUCGGGUGUGAAAUCCCUGGGCUCAACCGAGGAAGUGCACUCGAUACUGGCUGGCUAGAAGAUGGUAGAGGAAGGUGGAAUUCCAAGUGUAGAGGUGAAAUUCGUAGAUAUUUGGAGGAAUACCGGCGGCGAAGGCGGCCUUCUGGGCCAUUCUUGACACUGAGACGCGAAAGCGUGGGGAGCAAACAGG